GACGAACGCUGGCGGCGUGCUUAACACAUGCAAGUCGAACGGAAAGGCCCUGCUUUUGUGGGGUGCUCGAGUGGCGAACGGGUGAGUAACACGUGAGUAACCUGCCCUUGACUUUGGGAUAACUUCAGGAAACUGGGGCUAAUACCGGAUAGGAGCUCCUGCUGCAUGGUGGGGGUUGGAAAGUUUCGGCGGUUGGGGAUGGACUCGCGGCUUAUUAGCUUGUUGGUGGGGUAGUGGCUUACCAAGGCUUUGACGGGUAGCCGGCCUGAGAGGGUGACCGGCAACAUUGGGACUGAGAUACGGCGCAGACUCCUACGGGAGGCAGCAGUGGGGAAUAUUGCACAAUGGGCGGAAGCCGGAUGCAGCAACGCCGCGUGCGGGAUGACGGACUUCGGGUUGUAAACAGCUUUCGCCUGUGACGAAGCGUGAGUGACGGUAAUGGGUAAAGAAGCACCGGCUAACUACGUG
Molecule: ribosomal RNA, 468 nt
Filed under: uncultured bacterium
Lineage: Bacteria
Description: partial 16S ribosomal RNA
Rfam family: Bacterial small subunit ribosomal RNA
Source: RNAcentral